UACGGGGGGGGGCAAGCGUUGUUCGGAAUUACUGGGCGAAAGGGCUCGUAGGCGGCCAACUAAGUCAUACGUGAAAUCCCCCGGCUUAACCGGGGAACUGCGUCUGAUACUGGAUGGCUUGAGUUCGGGAGAGGGAUGCGGAAUUCCAGGUGUAGCGGUGAAAUGCGUAGAUAUCUGGAGGAACACCGGUGGCGAAGGCGGCAUCCUGGACCGAUACUGACGCUGAGGAGCGAAAGCCAGGGGAGCAAACGGG
RNAcentral lists this ribosomal RNA (253 nucleotides) under uncultured bacterium. RNAcentral's name for it is "partial 16S ribosomal RNA". It matches the Rfam family "Bacterial small subunit ribosomal RNA", at positions 524 to 776 of the family's 1533-position model. The record is from RNAcentral.